RNAcentral lists this long non-coding RNA (451 nucleotides) under Ailuropoda melanoleuca (giant panda). RNAcentral's name for it is "lncRNA (ENSAMEG00000027587.1)". The record is from RNAcentral. Lineage: Eukaryota; Metazoa; Chordata; Mammalia; Carnivora; Ursidae.
CUGGCAGGUCUCUCUUCAUGUGGCUGACCUGAUUCUACUAUGGGAGUGUGGACCCGUGGACCCCAGCAGGGAGCAGGUGGGACCCUGCGUUCCAAGGCCAAGUCCGGAGCCGUCUAUGUCUCCACCCCCACGGCCACCUGGCAGAGUGAGUUGGGCUCCCAUGGCAUCCUUGCACCCAUCACCUGAUUUCUGCAAGUCUGUCUCCCCUGCCAGUCAGCAAGCCGUGGGAAGGAGGCAGCCACCACGUCUCCUUGAAGGCACAGUGCCCAGUACUGCCGCACUUGUCCUCUCUGAGCUCAGACUUGCUGUACAGGAGCCAAGGCCCAGACCUCCACAGAGGAGUUCCUUGGAGGCAGCAGGAGUUAAUCUGCAGGAGUUAAUCUGCAGGAGGCAGCCCUCAGGCAACGUCACACCUCCUGAAGACAGCCAGGAGGACUCCGGCUUUUGCUGA